RNAcentral lists this long non-coding RNA (15212 nucleotides) under Hordeum vulgare. RNAcentral's name for it is "long non-coding RNA (HVUL_LNC014142)". Lineage: Eukaryota; Viridiplantae; Streptophyta; Magnoliopsida; Poales; Poaceae. The record is from RNAcentral.
UAAUAAUAACUAUAUUUAUUAUUGCCUCUAGGGCAUAAUUCCAACAGUCUCCCACUUGCACUAGAGUCAAUAAUCUAGCCCUCACAUCAUCAUGCGAAUUACAUCGUAAUAAAUCUAACAUCCAUACAGUUCUGGUGUUGAUCAUGCUUUGCCCGUGGAAGAGGUUUAGUCAGCGGGUCUGCUACAUUCAGAUCCGUGUGCACUUUGCAUAUAUUUACGUCCUCCCCUUCGACGUAGUCGCGGAUGAGGUUGAAGCGUCGUUUGAUGUGUGUGGACUUCUUGUGAAACCGUGGUUCCUUUGCUAAGGCAAUGGCACCUGUGUUGUCACAGAACAAGGCUAUUGGAUUCAGUGCGCUUGGCACCACUCCAAGAUCCGUCAUGAAUUGCUUCAUCCAGACACCCUCCUUAGCCGCCUCCGAGGCAGCCAUGUACUCCGCUUCACAUGUAGAAUCUGCUACGACGCUUUGCUUGGAACUGCACCAGCUUACCGCACCCCCAUUAAGAAUAAAUACGUAUCCGGUUUGCGACUUAGAGUCGUUCGGAUCUGUGUCAAAGCUUGCAUCGACGUAACCUUUUACGGCGAGCUCUUCGUCACCUCCAUACACGAGAAACAUCUCCUUAGUCCUUUUCAGGUACUNNNNNNNNNNNNNNNNNNNNNNNNNNNNNNNNNNNNNNNNNNNNNNNNNNNNNNNNNNNNNNNNNNNNNNNNNNNNNNNNNNNNNNNNNNNNNNNNNNNNUGAUAUAUUGGAUGUAUGAGAUGAUCAUGUUGUAAUAGAUAAUAUCGACUUGCACGUCGAUGGAACGGCAACCGGCAGGAGCCAUAGGUUUGUCUUUAUAACUAAUGUUUGUGCUUGCAGAUGCGUUUACUAUUUUGCUAGGACGUAGCUUUAGUAGUAAUAGCAUGAGUAGCACGACAACCCCGAUGGCGACACGUUGAUGGAGAUCAUGAUGAUGGAGAUCAUGGUGUGACGCCGGUGACAAGAAGAUCGUGCCGGUGCUUUGGUGAUGGAGAUCAAGAAGCACGUGAUGAUGGCCAUAUCAUGUCACUUAUAAAUUGCAUGUGAUGUUAAUCCUUUUAUGCACCUUAUUUUGCUUAGAACGACGGUAGCAUUAUGAGGUGAUCUCUCACUAAAAUUUCAAGACGAAAUUGUGUUCUCCCCGACUGUGCACCGUUGCUACAGUUCAUCGUUUCGAGACACUACGUGAUGAUCGGGUGUGAUAGACUCAACGUUCACAUACAACGGGUGCAAAACAGUUGCGCACGCGGAACCCUCGGGUUAAGCUUGACGAGCCUAGCAUGUGCAGACAUGGCCUCGGAACACAUGAGACCGAAAGGUCGAGCAUGAAUCGUAUAGUUGAUAUGAUUAGCAUAGAGAUGCUUACCACUGAAACUAUUCUCGACUCACGUGAUGAUCGGACUUGAGGUAGUGGAUUUGGAUCAUGUACCACUCAAAUGACUAGAGAGAUGUACUUUUUGAGUGGGAGUUCUUAAGUAAUAUGAUUAAUUGAACUAAUUGUCAUGAACAUAGUCUAAUGGUCUUUGCGAAUUACGAUGUAGCUUGCGCUAUAGCUCUACUGUUUUAUAUGUUCCUAGAGAAAAUUUAGUUGAAAAUUGAUAGUAGCAAACUUUGCAGACUGAGUCUGUAAAACCGAGGAUUGUCCUCGUUGCUANNNNNNNNNNNNNNNNNNNNNNNNNNNNNNNNNNNNNNNNNNNNNNNNNNNNNNNNNNNNNNNNNNNNNNNNNNNNNNNNNNNNNNNNNNNNNNNNNNNNUGGAACACCACAGCGUAAUGGUGUGUCCGAACGUCGUAAUCGUACGUUGUUAGAGAUGGUGCGAUAUAUGAUGUCUCUUACUGAUUUGCCGUUAUCAUUUUGGGGUUAUGCAUUAGAAACAGCUGCAUUCACUUUAAAUAGGGAACCAUCAAAAUCCGUUGAGACGACACCAUACGAACUGUGGUAUGGCUAAAGGCCAAAGUUGUCGUUUCUUAAAGUUUGGGGAUGUGAUGCUUAUGUCAAAAAGCUUCAGCCUGAAAAGCUGGAACCCAAAGCGGAAAAGUGCGUCUUCAUAGGUUACCCAAAAGAGACAGUUGGGUACACCUUCUAUCUAGAAAAAUGCGUCUUCAUAGGCUACCCAAAAGAGACAGUUGGGUACACCUUCUAUCUCAAAUCCGAGGGCAAAGUGUUUGUUGCUAAGAACGGAACUUUUCUCGAGAAGGAGUUUCUCUCGAGAGAAUUGAGUGGGAGGAAGAUAGAACUUGACGAGGUUGUCGAACCUCUCAUCCCUCUGGAUGGUGGCGCAGGGCAAGGGGAAACCUCUGUCGUUGCGACGCCGGUUGAGGAGGAAGUUAAUGAUGAUGAUCAUGAAACUCCAGUUCAAGUUUCUGUCGAACCAUUGCGAGGCCGGUUGAGGAGGAAGUUAAUGAUGAUGAUCAUGAAACUCCAGUUCAAGUUUCUAUUGAACCACGCAGGUCGACAAGAUCACGCGCUGCUCCAGAGUGGUACGGUAAUCCCGUCUUGUCAAUCAUGUUGUUAGACAACAAUGAACCUGCAAAUUAUGAAGAAGCAAUGGUGGGCCCAGAUUCCAACAAAUGGCUAGAAGCCAUGAAAUCUGAGAUAGGAUCCAUGUAUGAGAACAAAGUGUGGACUUUGGAGAUACUACCUGAGGGCCGCAAGGCUAUUCAGAACAAAUGGAUCUUUAAGAAGAAGACGGACGCUGACGGUAAUGUGACCGUUUAUAAAGCUCGACUUGUGGCAAAGGGUUUUUCACAAGUUCCAGGAAUUGACUACGAUGAGACUUUCUCUCCCGUGGUAAUGCUUAAGUCCGUCAGAAUCAUGUUAGCAAUAGCUGCAUUUUUCNNNNNNNNNNNNNNNNNNNNNNNNNNNNNNNNNNNNNNNNNNNNNNNNNNNNNNNNNNNNNNNNNNNNNNNNNNNNNNNNNNNNNNNNNNNNNNNNNNNNUUUGGGGAGACACACCAGCCCUUAGUGGGCUGGUGGGACAGCCCCAAGGGGCCCUAUUCGCCAAGGAGAAGAAAUCAAAGGAAAAGAAAAAAAAAGAGGGAGGAAGUGGGAAGGGAGGGGGACUCCUCCCACCAAACCAAGUCCAACUCGGUUUGGGGGGGGGGUCCUCCCCCCCUUGGCUCGGCCGAACCUACUCCAAGUAGGAUUGGAGUAGGACUCCUCCACCUCCAAUUUCGGCCAAACCUUUAGGUUUUGUGGCUGCCUCCUCCCCUCCCUCCCACCUAUAUAUACGGAGGUUUUAGGGCUGAUUUGAGACGACUUUUCCACGGCAGCCCGACCACAUACCUCCACGGUUUUUCCUCUAGAUCGCGUUUCUGCGGAGCUCGGGCGGAGCCCUGCUGAGACAAGAUCAUCACCAACCUCCGGAGCACCGUCACGCUGCCGGAGAACUCUUCUACCUCUCCGUCUCUCUUGCUGGAUCAAGAAGGCCGAGAUCAUCGUCGAGCUGUACGUGUGCUGAACGCGGAGGUGACGUCCGUUCGGUACUAGAUCGUGGGACUGAUCGCGGGAUUUUUCGCGGGGCGGAUCGAGGGACGUGAGGACGUUCCACUACAUCAACCGCGUUCUCUAACGCUUCUGCUGUACGAUCUACAAGGGUACGUAGAUCACUCAUCCCCUCUCGUAGAUGGACAUCACCAUGAUAGGUCUUCGUGCGCGUAGGAAAAUUUUUGUUUCCCAUGCGACGUCACCAUGAUAGGUCUUCGUGCGCGUAGGGAAAUUUUUGUUCCCUUGCGACGUUCCCCAACAUACCUUAUAUCAUUAUAUUUCACCAAGUAGCUAAUGUCUUUGCCUUAUCAUUAUGUAGGGGGUGGGAUUACCCGAAGAAUACCCGGAAUCCAAACUGCCUCCUUGGUGCUUUACUUGGGGAGCACUUCCCCGGGAUAGUGCAGUUGCCCGGUGAGGGUAUGGUUCCCGAGCCAGGACUCAAGUGGGAGCACUACCAAGCCGCUCUGCUCCCGGAAAACACUCAUGUGAAUGGUGUUGUUUGCGUGAUCGUGGCCGACAAGGUGUUGGCUGAUUUUUGGGUAACUGUUAUUUUAGCCAAUAAAAAGUAUACAAUGUUAUAUAUUGUUAUUUCCUUCCAAAUCAUUUCACUAUUCAUUUGUGCAUCUAUAUGGCAUAAUUGCAGAGUUACUUUAGGGUCGCGGAGGGGACGGAGGAGGCGGACAAGAAGAACCUCGUGAAAGAGUGCAAGAGUUUAUUGAAUAACACGAGGCACGAGCUGCGUGUUCAGGUUGUUCGAGAUUGGUACGCCAAGGAAGGGGAGUCGAAGACAAAGACUGAAUGUCCAAAUAUUUACCUUGAUAAGACCGAGUACAUGGAGGUAUGUACAUUCCAAAGAUCAAUUCUUUAAUAGUUUUGUUAGGGUUAGUCAGGUCUAUUUAGUUAUAAUACUUAGUUUCAUUCUUCAUUAACUUACAUUCAUAGGUGCCCCCAAGAUCGUUGGCCGAUAAGAUGGAUUGUUGGGAGAUGAUAGUGGACAGGUGGUGCAUAGAGGCUUGGUUGAGCACCCACACUAUGGCCAAGGACCGUCGUGCCCAAUUGGUUGGUGUGCCACACCACCAAGGCAAUGCCAACAUCAAGUAAUACGCCAAAAAUUGGGUAUGUGUGCCUAGUUUUGUUUCAUGAAUAAUUCAUUCGUUCAUGAUUUUUGUUGUACUAAUUCUUUGUCUUUUCGUGUAGGCCAAACACAAUAACCAGCCCGAGCCUCAGGGAUACACCGCGUUUAGCAUGGCCCAUAAGGGCUCGUACAAGACGGCGAAGGCAUAUUCUGAGGGGGACGAGCCGUCAGCGUACACAAGCAUGUCCGCCUAUAGCAAGAUGACAUCUUAUUCUGAGGUGGUCAAACAGCUGCGUGGGCCUGACUUUGACCCGAGCCAUAAUCCUAUCGAUCCGGAGGCGUUGAUGAUCUCUCGUGGCGGUAAGAGUCAUGGCACGCUGGCCAUGUGUGAUGGCUUCGUCCCUAUCACUGAGACUCUAUCUCAGAUCAAGACGAGGCAAACGAGCUCCGCUCCUGUAAUACGGCAACGCGCGAGGCCAGUUGAUCUUGCCAUCGAGGUUAGUUUUCUUCAUUAUUUCUUUCGUUCAUUUGUCCCUGAAUGGAUGAUGAAAAUUCCUUUUGAGGAGUGGUUGCAGGCCGCACUUGAGAAGGAGAGGGAGGCCACCAGGCUCUUGUUGGAGGAGAGAGACCAAAAUACGCUGAGGUUGCUUGAGGAGGAGAUGGCACGCAAUAAUGCCCAUGCGAAGGCCAUGCACGACUUCGUUGCGGUAAGUCAGUUGUGUGAGAAGCAACAAGGCUAUUUCUUUGACUCGUCGAAAACUAAUUUGCAGGCUAUAUGUGAUAAGCAAGGUUUGUCGCCCCCUCCGCCGAUGCCUUCUCCGGUGGGAACGGUGAGUUCCCUUUCAAUGACCAACCUUCCACGGUCUUAUACCAUUGUCCGUCGCCGUGCUAACCACAUAUUUUAACUCUUGCCUUGUUGUAGCAUCAUUCCAGAGUUGAAUCCCAUGAUCCCUUUACUUCUCCUGGUGAGAGCCCUAGCAACCCAGCGACCAACGGAGAUGAUGCUUCUCCUCCGUUUCUUGGCAUUCAGUAAGUUAUUCCUCUCCUUCUUAUUCUUCUUAUUGUUUAGGUCAACUUAGAUUAUGCCAUGCUUUAGUUAGCUCAGUAAAUUCUAGUUGAUAUUAGCCAUGCUUUAGUUAGCUUAGUAAAUUCUAGUUGAUAAUUAGCUUACUUACCUAAAAAAUUACAUAAUUACCUUACUUACUUCAAAAAUGACAUAAUUACUUGAUAACACAAAAAAAUAGCAUAAUUAGUUGACAUUAGAGCUCAAAAAUGACAUAAUUAGUUUAGAAAGUUCUAAAAGAAACCAGAAGAGAAGAACAAAGAAGAGAUGAAGAAAUAAGAGAAGAACAAAGAAGCUCAAAAAAGACAUAAUUCUUGUUCUUCUUCUUCUUCUUCCACUUCUUCUUCUAAUUGCUUAGCUUAAUUUAACUUCUUUAUUAUUGUAUUCUUCUUCUAACUUCUUUCUCAUUAUGAAGAUUUUGAUAAAGCAGCAUGGCAUAUGGAUGGAUGCUCCAUGGACUGUACUCAUGUAGUCUUAGAUGAACUUUGUAAUGCACUUGUAUUUACGGAUGCACUUGUGAUGCUUUGUAAUACUUUGUGAUCUUGUUUGCACUUUAAUUACAUAUAUUGGUGCUCUUUUCACUUUGUGAUGCACUUGUGGUGCUGUUUGCACUUUGUGAUGCACUGUGGUGAUGUUUAGGGCCUGGGCAAAUAUAUAUAUAUUGUUGUUUGUAUCUAUGUUUUGCAAAUGCAGGGAAUUAACAGAAAACAAAUAUUAAAAAAGCAGAGAGGGUCUUUCUUACUGACGACAAAGCCUAUGCCGUCGGUGGGCUGACGGCAAAGAAGGACACGUGGCGACAGCCUGUGUAACCUAGCAACUGUGAGAUCACCAAAUUUUCCUAGAUUUUCGGCUUUGCCGUUAGCUGUGCUUCAGCUGUGGGCAAAGAGGGGACCCAGGUUUUCGGCUUUGCCGUCACCUGUGCUCCGGCUGUGGGCAAAGAGGGGGCCCACAUGUCAGUGCUGCUAGCAUCCCUAAAACGUAUGGCCCACCAGAACUUUGUCGUCCGCCAGCGUACAGCUGACGGCAAAGCCUGCCGUUAACCCUCUAAAGGGGCUCGGCUUGCGUCGUUGCCGCCAUUGCUCUAUGUCGUCAGCCCGUGCCAAAAAGCUGAUGGCAAAGGCUUUGCCGUCGGUCGAUUUGCAGCUAACAGCAAAGAAGGUGAUUGCCGAUAAAAUCGUGGCCAACUCCUUUGCCGUCCGUUAAACAGGUCGUUGCCGUCAGCUCUAGCUGUCGGCAAACCAUCAGAUUCCAGUAGUGUAAACGCACUCUAAAUUUAAAAAUUGAAAAUAUAUGUGAAAUUAAAGACAAAUUUGAACCUAAAUAUAAAUCACUUUGAAGUUUCUCUAUAAAUUCUCAUAUAGUUUCAAUUUUUUUCCAUUAUUUUUGUUUUGUUCUUUGCUUUACUUCUUUUUUUUUUCUACUUACAACUAAAAUUUAGUUAUCAAAUUUGAAUUCUUUGGGUUGGAUUUUUUUCUCUUCUAUUUUAGUUUUCUAUUAAAGAUGUUAACCAAAAAACUUUAUGAAAAUUCUUUUGAGUUGAUCUUUUUUUGUUUCUUUUUAGUUAAUGUUUUACUUGAUUCUUUUUUAACAAAUAAGCACUUUGAUCAUUUUAGUUGAUUAUUUUUAAUUCAUUCAUUUUAGUUAAUGUUUGAGUUGAUUCUUUUUAGUUGACUCUUUUCUUGUUUUCUAUUAAAUAUUUUAACAAAAAUAUUCAACAAUUUCUCACUUCAUUUGGUAUUUUUCGUGCAUUUACUUAUUUUUUUAGCUAGUUGACCCUGAAAUUGAAAAGCACUAUAAAGGAACUCUGAAAUGUUGAAAGAUGGCAUGCUAUCAUCAUUUCACCCACAUAGCAUGUGCUAAAAAGUUGAGAGGGUUACGACAAAAACUAGAUGCACUUCAUGUACAAAAUGGACAAUCUCUCUCGAAAUAUGAGGGUUUCGAACGAGAACUCAUAUGUUACAAAGGGAUUUCAUUUUUUUGAACUUAUUGGAACUCCAUACUUUUUGUGUGUUCAAAAUGCACCAUUCAAAGGCGCAUCACAAAGUUUCAACAAUAUCUCACCUCAUUUGGUAUUUUUCAUGCAUUUACUUUUUUUUGAGCUAGUUGACCCUGAAAUUGAAAAGCACUACAAAUGAACUCUGAAAAUGUUGAAUGUUCGCAUGGUAUCAUCAUUUCACCCACAUAGCAUGUGCUAAAAACUUGAGAGGGUUACGACAAAAACUGGAUGCACUUCGUGAACAAAACGGACAAUCUCUCUCGAAGUAUCAAGGUUUCAAACGAGAACUCAUGUGUUACAAAGGGAAUUGAUUUUUUUGAACUUAUUUGAACUCCAUACUUUUUGUGUGUUCAAAAUGCACCAUUUAAAGGCACAUAGUAAAUUUUCAACAAUUUCUGACUUCAUUUGGUAUUUUUCGUGCAUUUACUUAUUUUUUUAGCUAGUUGACCCUGAAAUUGAAAAGCACUAUAAAGGAACUCUGAAAUGUUGAAAGAUGGCAUGCUAUCAUCAUUUCACCCACAUAGCAUGUGCUAAAAAGUUGAGAGGGUUACGACAAAAACUAGAUGCACUUCAUGUACAAAAUGGACAAUCUCUCUCGAAAUAUGAGGGUUUCGAACAUGUUAAAAAGUUGAGAUGGUUACGACAAAAAAUGAAUGCACUUCGUGUACAAAACGGACAAUCUCUCUCGAAGUAUCACGGUUUCGAACGAGAACUCAUCUGUUACAAAGGGAUGUCAUUUUUUUGAACUUAUUUGAACUCCAUACUUUUUGUGUGUUCAAAAUGCACCAUUCAAAGUCACAUCACAAAUUUUAACCAAUUUCUGACUUCAUUUGGUAUUUUUCGUGCAUUUACUAAUUAUUUUUUGAGCUAGUUGACCCUGAAAUUGAAAAGCACUACAAAUGAACUCUGAAAAUGUUGAAUGUUCGCAUGGUAUCAUCAUUUCACCCACAUAGCAUGUGCUAAAAACUUGAGAGGGUUACGACAAAAACUGGAUGCACUUCGUGAACAAAACGGACAAUCUCUCUCGAAGUAUCACGGUUUCAAACGAGAACUCAUCUGUUACAAAGGGAUGUAAUUUUUUUGAACUUAUUUGAACUCCAUAAUUUUCUGUGUUCAAAAUGCACAAUUCAAAGUCACAUCACAAAUUUUCAACAAUUUCUGACUUCAUUUGGUAUUUGUCGUGCAUUUACUUCUUUUUUUUGAGCUAGUUGACACUGAAAUUGAAAAGCACUACAAAUGAACUGUGAAAAUGUUGAAAGUUGGCAUGGUAUAAUCAUUUCACCCACAUAGCAUGUGCUAAAAUUUUGAUAGGGUUACGACAAAAACAGGAUGCACUUCGUUUACAAAACAGACAAUCUCUCUCGAAGUAUCAGGGUUUCGAACGAGNNNNNNNNNNNNNNNNNNNNNNNNNNNNNNNNNNNNNNNNNNNNNNNNNNNNNNNNNNNNNNNNNNNNNNNNNNNNNNNNNNNNNNNNNNNNNNNNNNNNGUGUUACUAUUGCAAGGGUAUGGGUCACUGGAAGCGCAAUUGCCCCAAGUAUCUGGCAGAUAAGAAGGCGGCCAAAGAAAAAUCAGGUAUAUUUGAUAUACAAGUUAUUGAUGUGUACUUAACCGGCUCUCGUAGUAGUGGCUGGGUAUUCGAUACCGGUUCUGUUGCUCAUAUUUGCAACUCGAAACAGGAACUGCGGAAUAGACGAAGGCUGGCGAAAGAUGAAGUGACGAUGCGCGUAGGAAAUGGUUCCAAGGUUGAUGCAAUCACCAUCGGCACAGUUUCACUUCAGUUACCAUCAGGAUUAGUUAUGAACUUGAAUCAUUGUUAUUUAGUGCCUGCGUUGAGCAUGAACAUUAUAUCUGGAUCUUGUUUAUUGCGAGACGGUUACUCUUUUAAGUCUGAGAAUAAUGGUUGUUCUAUUUCUAUGAGUACCAUCUUUUAUGGUCAUGCACCCAAUGUGAGAGGAUUGUUCAUAUUGAAUCUUGAUAGCAAUACACACAUACAUAACAUUGAGACCAAAAGAGUUAGAGUUAACAAUGAUAGCGCCAUAUUUUUGUGGCACUGCCGCUUAGGUCAUAUUGGUGUAAAGCGCAUGAAGAAACUCCAUGCUGAUGGACUUUUGGAGUCACUUGACUUUGAUUCACUUGACACGUGCGAACCAUGCCUCAUGGGCAAGAUGACUAAAACUCCAUUCUCCGGAACAAUGGAGCGUGCAAGUGACUUGUUGGAAAUCAUACAUACCGAUGUGUGUGGUCCAAUGAGCGUAGAGGCACGCGGCGGAUAUCGUUAUUUUCUCACCUUCACUGACGAUUUGAGUAGAUAUGGUUAUGUCUACUUAAUGAAGCACAAGUCUGAAACAUUUGAAAGGUUCAAGAAAUUAGAGAGUGAAGUUGAAAAUCAUCGUAACAAGAAGAUCAAAUUCCUACGGUCUGAUCGUGGGGGUGAAUAUCUGAGUUUCGACUUUGGUGCUCACUUAGGACAAUGUGGAAUUGUUUCACAGUUAACACCGCCUGGAACACCACAGCGUAAUCGUGUGUCCGAACGUUGUAAUCGUACUUUAUUAGAGAUGGUGCGAUCUAUGAUGUCUCUUANNNNNNNNNNNNNNNNNNNNNNNNNNNNNNNNNNNNNNNNNNNNNNNNNNNNNNNNNNNNNNNNNNNNNNNNNNNNNNNNNNNNNNNNNNNNNNNNNNNNUUGGACCGACAUUACUCGUACGCUUACGAGAGACUGGUUUCAUCGUUACGAGUAACCCCCUUUGCUCAAAGAUGACUGGCAAGUGUCGGUUUCUCCAACUUUAGUUGAAUCGGAUUUGACCGAGGAGGUCCUUGUGUGAGGUUAAAUAGCAACUCAUAUAUCUCCAUUGUGGUGUUUGCGUAAGUAAGAUGCGAUCCUACUAGAUACCCUUGGUCACCACGUAAAACAUGCAACAACAAAAUUAGAGGACGUCUAACUUGUUUUUGCAGGGUAUGAUUGUGAUGUGAUAUGGCCAACGAUGUGAUGUGAUAUAUUGGAUGUAUGAGAUGAUCAUGUUGUAAUAGAAAUAUCGACUUGCACGUCGAUGGUACGGCAACCGGCAGGAGCCAUAGGGUUGUCUUUAUACUAACGUUUGUGCUUGCAGAUGCGUUUACUAUUUUGCUAGGAUGUAGCUUUAGUAGUAAUAGCAUAAGUAGCAUGACAACCCCGAUGGCAACAUGUUGAUGGAUGAUCAUGGUGUGGCGCCGGUGACAAGAAGAUCGUGCCGGUGCUUUGGUGAUGGAGAUCAAGAAGCACGUGAUGAUGGCCAUAUCAUGUCACUUAUAAAUUGCAUGUGAUGUUAAUCCUUUUAUGCACCUUAUUUUGCUUAGAACGACGGUAGCAUUAUGAGGUGAUCUCUCACUAAAAUUUCAAGACGAAAUUGUGUUCUCCCCGACUGUGCACCGUUGCUACAGUUCGUCGUUUCGAGACACCACGUGAUGAUCGGGUGAUAUAGACUCAACGUUCACAUACAACGGGUGCAAAAAAGUUGCGCACGCGGAACACUCGGGUUAAGCUUGACGAGCCUAGCAUGUGCAGACAUGGCCUCGGAACACAUGAGACCGAAAGGUCGAUCAUGAAUCAUAUAGUUGAUAUGAUUAGCAUAGGGAUGCUUACCACUGAAACUAUACUCAACUCACGUGAUGAUCGGACUUGGGAUAGUGUAAGUGGAUCAUGAACCACUCAAAUGACUAGAGAGAUGUACUUUUUGAGUGGGAGUUCUUAAGUAAUAUGAUUAAUUGAACUAAUUGUCAUGAACAUAGUCUAAUGGUCUUUGCGAAUUACAAUGUAGCUUGCGCUAUAGCUCUACUGUUUUAUAUGUUUUUGAAUAUAUUUGUGUUGUAGAUCAUGGCUCACGCGACAGUCAUCCUGAAUUUUAAUACGUUCCUAGAGAAAGCUAAGUUGAAAGAUGAUGUAAGCAACUUUGUAGACUGGGCUCGUAAUCUUAAACUAAUCUUACAAGCUGGGAAGAAGGAUUAUGUCCUUAAUGCUGCGCUAGGAGAUGAACCACCCGCUACGGCUGAUCAGGAUGUUAAGAACGCUUGGUUAGCACGUAAGGAGGACUACUCAAUAGUUCAAUGUGCAGUCUUGUAUGGCUUAGAACCGGGACUUCAACGUCGCUUUGAGCGUCAUGGAGCAUUUGAGGUGUUCCAGGAGUUGGAGUUUAUCUUUCAGAAGAACGCCCGGAUCGAGAGGUAUGAGACCUCCGAUAAAUUCUAUGCUUGCAAGAUGGAGGAAAACUCGUCUGUCAGUGAACAUGUGCUCAAAAUGUCUGGGUACUCAAACCGUCUAGCUGAGCUGGGGAUUGAACUCCCACAAGAAGCUAUCACUGACAGAAUCCUUCAAUCACUGCCGUCAAGCUAUAAAGGCUUUGUGUUGAACUACAACAUGCAAGGGAUGANNNNNNNNNNNNNNNNNNNNNNNNNNNNNNNNNNNNNNNNNNNNNNNNNNNNNNNNNNNNNNNNNNNNNNNNNNNNNNNNNNNNNNNNNNNNNNNNNNNNCUUUUGUGUUCUACUCGAGAAGACAUCUACGCAUGAACCUAGCUCUGAUACCACUGUUGGGGAACGUCGCAUGGGAAACAAAAUUUUUCCUACGCGCACGAAGACCUAUCAUGGUGAUGUCCAUCUACGAGAGGGGAUGAGUGAUCUACGUACCCUUGUAGACCGUACAGCAGAAGCGUUAGAGAACGCGGUUGAUGUAGUGGAACGUCCUCACGUCCCUCGAUCCGCCCCGCGAACAAUCCCGCGAUCAGUCCCACGAUCUAGUACCGAACGGACGGCACCUCCGCGUUCAGCACACGUACAGCUCGACGAUGAUCUCGACCUUCUUGAUCCAGCAAGAGAGACGGAGAGUAGAAGAGUUCUCCGGCAGCGUGACGGCACUCCGGAGGUUGGUGAUGACCUUGUCUCAGCAGGGCUCCGCUCGAGCUCCGCAGAAACGCGAUCUAGAGGAAAAACCGUGGAGGUAUGUGGUCGGGCUGCCGUGGAAAAGUCGUCUCAAAUCAGCCCUAAAACCUCCGUAUAUAUAGGUGGGAGGGAGGGGAGGAGGCAGCCUCAAAACCUAAAGGUUUGGCCGAAAUUGGAGGUGGAGGAGUCCUACUCCAAUCCUACUUGGAGUAGGAUUCCACCUUCCGGCCGAGCCAAGGGGGAGGUCUCUCCCCCCCCCAAACCGAGUUGGACUAGGUUUGGUGGGAGGGAGUCCCCCUUCCUUCCCACCUCCUCCUUUUUUUUCUUUCUCUCUUGAUUUUCUUCUCCUUGGCGCAUAGGGAACUUGUGGGCUGUCCCACCAGCCCACUAAGGGCUGGUGUGUCUCCCCAAAGGCCUAUGGGCUUCCACGGGGUGGGUUGCCCCCCCGGUGAACUCCCGGAACCCAUUCGUCAUUCCCGGUAUAUUCCCGGUAACUCCAAAAACCUUCCGGUAAUCAAAUGAGGUCAUCCUAUAUAUCAAUCUUCGUUUCCGGACCAUUCCGGAAACUCUCGUGACGUCCGUGAUCUCAUCCGGGACUCCGAACAACAUUCGGUAACCAACCAUAUAACUCAAAUACGCAUAAAACAACGUCGAACCAGAUCCCAUCCGGGACUCCGAACAACAUUCGGUAACCAACCAUAUAACUCAAAUACGCAUAAAACAACGUCGAACCUUAAGUGUGCAGACCCUGCGGGUUCGAGAACUAUGUAGACAUGACCCGAGAGACUCCUCGGUCAAUAUCCAAUAGCGGGACCUGGAUGCCCAUAUUGGAUCCUACGUAUUCUAGGAAGAUCUUAUCGUUUGAACCUCAGUGCCAAGGAUUCGUAUAAUCCCGUAUGUCAUUCCCUUUGUCCUUCGGUAUGUUACUUGCCCGAGAUUCGAUCGUCAGUAUCCGCAUACCUAUUUCAAUCUUGUUUAUCGGCAAGUCUCUUUACUCGUUCCGUAAUACAAGAUCCCGCAACUUACACUAAGUUGCAUUGCUUGCAAGGCUUGUGUGUGAUGUUGUAUUACCGAGUGGGCCCCGAGAUACCUCUCCGUCACACACGGAGUGACAAAUCCCAGUCUUGAUCCAUACUAACUCAACUAACACCUUCAGAGAUACCUGUAGAGCAUAUUUAUAGUCACCCAGUUACGUUGCGACGUUUGAUACACACAAAGCAUUCCUCCGGUGUCAGUGAGUUAUAUGAUCCUCUCCNNNNNNNNNNNNNNNNNNNNNNNNNNNNNNNNNNNNNNNNNNNNNNNNNNNNNNNNNNNNNNNNNNNNNNNNNNNNNNNNNNNNNNNNNNNNNNNNNNNNAUAAUAAACGAUUAUCAUGAACUAAGAAAUAUAAUAAUAACUAAUAAUAACUAAUUUAUUGUCUAUGCCAGAAGGCAGAGUGACAACAUCAAUUUCUAGGGGUAGGGGGAUCAGUCAGUGAGCAGCAACUGCAAGUGCAGAGGAAGCAUCUAUAUCAAGUCAACAAGCAGCAGCUUUAGCAAGACCCAAGAAAAAACAUGCAAGAGGGGGAAGCACUGUAGGAAGAGUAGCAACAAAUGCUGCAAGAGGAGGAAGAACUGUUGCGAGGGGAGGAAGGAAUGGUGCAAGAGAAGGAAGAACUACUAGUGGAGGAGGAAGAAAUGGUGCAAGAGGAGGAAGUACUGCUGCUGAUACACUCGGAAGAAGAAAUGGUGCAAGAGGAGGAGGAAUAGGUGAUGUUGGUCCUGGAGAUCUGAGAGGACCGCUCCUCGCUUUUACAAUCUCCUGUUUGGAGAUGAUGGAGCUAUUGAUAGAACACAAUUCAUGCGGGGUGAAGAGGAGGUUUUGUUCAACCAAAAUGCACCACAGAUUACGCUAUCGCAAUAUGGUUGCCCUAUUGAUGUGCAUGAUUUUCUUUCACUUUAGUUUACAUUGAAAGAAGUUAGAGUUCAUCAAUGGAGUUUUGGUUACAUUGAGUUCAUGAAUGAACCACUCUUGUAGUUGGGGUAAAGGUGUAGUAGUCAAGGCCUUCUGUAAAUUUAUUUUGCUUUGGUUUCAUCAAUCUUCAGACUGAACGAAACUGUAUUUUGCUAUGCUUUGGUUUAUGAUAUGACAAGGCAACUAGAUCAAGAGGCCUCUCUCAUUAAUAUUUAGCUAAUUUCUAUAUGUUGUGGCUUCAAUUAAUCGGUAGAACUGCUGUUGUAGUGCAAGCGCUCUUUAACUUCUAUAGCCUGAUGCAAGAUAAUACAAAGAAUCAAAAAUGGGGAAAUACUGUCUUGGAUGUGUUCUAAAAUAGUCGCUUGCAGCUUGCCAAUGUGAUGGAACACGGGAAUUUGGCUCAAGCCAUAUUGCUCACCAAGUUGCUAUAAUGAAUGAUCCCCAUUUCUCCUCGGAUAAUAAUGAUUCUUGAUACAUCCCAACCCUAGAUGAUGGGCACACUUUCAACCAAGAGACAAUACGUACAUGAGCAUAGAUGAUCUGUCGGGUAACCAUACCGGAAAAAUGCCACAACUCAUUCAUACCAUGUAUGUUUUAUAUGCAGAUGUAUGAAAGGUCUUGUCCCAAGUGAUUGGUUUGGUGGCAAGUCUUGGUUCCAACAUUAAUAUUUCACAUUUAUGUGACACUUGACGCCUGGAACCAUGUAUAAGUAGAUUUUUCU